AUUGAACGCUGGCGGCAGGCCUAACACAUGCAAGUCGAACGAGUGGCGGACGGGUGAGUAAUGUCUGGGAAACUGCCUGAUGGAGGGGGAUAACUACUGGAAACGGUAGCUAAUACCGCAUACCAUCGGAUGUGUCCAGAUGGGAUUAGCUAGUAGGUGGGGUAAAGGCUCACCUAAGCGACGAUCCCUAGCUGGUCUGAGAGGAUGACCAGCCACGCUGGAACUGAGACACGGUCCAAACUCCUACGGUAGGCAGAAGUGGCGAAUAGGGCACAAUGGUGGCAGGCCUAAUGCAGAAAUGCCGCGUGGAUGAAGAAGGCCUUCGGGUUGUAAAGUACUUUCAGCCGGGAGGCGUUACCCGCAGAAGAAGCACCGGCUAACUUCGUGCCAGCCGCCGCGGUAAUUC
RNAcentral lists this ribosomal RNA (406 nucleotides) under uncultured bacterium. RNAcentral describes it as "partial 16S ribosomal RNA". It matches the Rfam family "Bacterial small subunit ribosomal RNA", at positions 30 to 526 of the family's 1533-position model. The record is from RNAcentral.